RNAcentral lists this ribosomal RNA (57 nucleotides) under Fusarium sp. Its description in RNAcentral is "partial 28S ribosomal RNA". It matches the Rfam family "Eukaryotic large subunit ribosomal RNA", at positions 1 to 57 of the family's 3401-position model. The record is from RNAcentral. Lineage: Eukaryota; Fungi; Ascomycota; Sordariomycetes; Hypocreales; Nectriaceae. RNAcentral also lists the same sequence under 10 other names.
UGACCUCGAAUCAGGUAGGAAUACCCGCUGAACUUAAGCAUAUCAAUAAGCGGAGGA